AUAUAAAGUGAUAUGGUCUAGUUCAACAACUGCCUGUAUUUUUGGAAUACUGAAGAACAGUCUGUUGUAACAGGUUAAACCCCAUGGUGACCGUGAAAUUUACAUUGAUCAGAAGAUCCUUUGGAAAGAAUGUGCAUCAUCGCA
Long non-coding RNA from Dreissena polymorpha, 144 nucleotides. RefSeq lists it as uncharacterized. The record is from RefSeq and is a predicted model, not a curated record. Lineage: Eukaryota; Metazoa; Mollusca; Bivalvia; Myida; Dreissenidae. The transcript has 2 exons.